Molecule: ribosomal RNA, 247 nt
Filed under: uncultured bacterium
Lineage: Bacteria
Description: partial 16S ribosomal RNA
Rfam family: Bacterial small subunit ribosomal RNA
Source: RNAcentral
AGACAGAGGGUGCAUGCGUUGUUCGGAAUUACUGGGCGUAAAGGGCGUGUAGGCUGUACGGCAAGUCGGGUGUGAAAUCCCAUGGCUUAACCAUGGAACUGCAUUCGAUACCGCCGAACUAGAGUCCGGGAGAGGGAAGUGGAAUUCCCAGUGUAGAAGUGAAAUUCGUAGAUAUUGGGAGGAACACCAGUAGCGAAGGCGACUUCCUGGCCCGGCACUGACGCUGAUACGCGAAAGCGUGGGUAGC